RNAcentral lists this non-coding RNA (97 nucleotides) under uncultured Clostridium sp. RNAcentral's name for it is "Glycine riboswitch". It matches the Rfam family "Glycine riboswitch aptamer", at positions 8 to 87 of the family's 94-position model. Rfam says of the family: This family represents the bacterial glycine riboswitch. Glycine riboswitches usually consist of two metabolite-binding aptamers domains with similar structures in tandem. The aptamers cooperatively bind glycine to regulate the expression of downstream genes. Lineage: Bacteria; Bacillati; Bacillota; Clostridia; Eubacteriales; Clostridiaceae. The record is from RNAcentral.
CGAGCCUCUGGAGAGACUUAUUUGAAUAAGCACCGAAGGAGCAAGAUUGUAUAAAUUAUUUAUACAAUUGAAACUCUCAGGUAAAAGGACAGGGGAA